RNAcentral lists this long non-coding RNA (420 nucleotides) under Mus spretus (western wild mouse). RNAcentral describes it as "lncRNA (ENSMSPG00010021328.1)". The record is from RNAcentral. Lineage: Eukaryota; Metazoa; Chordata; Mammalia; Rodentia; Muridae.
GCUCUACACAUUCAGGCCAUUCUGGGAAGAAACCGUGUGUUGCUACACACACACAGAAGACCAGGCAGGGUCUCCUGGAAGAGUGGGAGCUCAUGAUGAUGCUUACAGCUUCCAAUCUAUCAGGGUGAAGGCGGGAAGCCCUCACGGCCUUCCAGACCUGCCACUGCUUUUUGCCAUGAUGUGCUCACCAAGGCUCAUGUAUCCGACACUUGCUCUUAAGCUCGGUGGUUUGAGGUCCUCCAGAGGUGGAAGUCUGAAUAAAACCAGGUCCUCUCUACCCCUUGGCUUCCUGCCUCACCAUGGCAACUCUUCCUCUCAUUUGUAGUUUCAUCAUUGUGUGACACAAAGAUCCUUCAUGAGACACUAUGUUCCUUAAUACCCCAGACUAUGAGCUAAAUAAACCUCUUUUCUUUAUAAUGU